AUUGAACGCUGGCGGCAUGCCUUACACAUGCAAGUCGAACGGCAGCGGACCUUCGGGUGCCGGCGAGUGGCGAACGGGUGAGUAAUGCAUCGGAACGUGCCAUUGAGUGGGGGAUAACGUAGCGAAAGUUACGCUAAUACCGCAUAUUCUGUGAGCAGGAAAGCAGGGGGACCGCAAGGCCUUGCGCUCUUUGAGCGGCCGAUGUCGGAUUAGCUAGUUGGUGAGGUAAAGGCUUACCAAGGCGACGAUCUGUAGCGGGUCUGAGAGGAUGAUCCGCCACACUGGAACUGAGACACGGUCCAGACUCCUACGGGAGGCAGCAGUGGGGAAUUUUGGACAAUGGGCGCAAGCCUGAUCCAGCCAUGCCGCGUGCGGGACGAAGGCC
RNAcentral lists this ribosomal RNA (385 nucleotides) under uncultured bacterium. Its description in RNAcentral is "bacterial SSU rRNA". It matches the Rfam family "Bacterial small subunit ribosomal RNA", at positions 30 to 416 of the family's 1533-position model. The record is from RNAcentral.